RNAcentral lists this ribosomal RNA (274 nucleotides) under uncultured bacterium. RNAcentral describes it as "partial 16S ribosomal RNA". It matches the Rfam family "Bacterial small subunit ribosomal RNA", at positions 523 to 796 of the family's 1533-position model. The record is from RNAcentral.
AUACGGAGGGUGCAAGCGUUAAUCGGAAUUACUGGGCGUAAAGCGUACGUAGGCGGUUCGUUAAGUUAGAUGUGAAAGCCCCGGGCUUAACCUGGGAACUGCGUUUAAAACUGGCGGACUAGAGUUGAGUAGAGGGGAGUGGAAUUUCAGGUGUAGCGGUGAAAUGCGUAGGGAGCUGAAGGAACACAAGUGGCGAAGGCGACUCCCUGGCCUCGAACUGACGCUGAGGUACGAAAGCGUGGGUAGCAAACGGGAUUAGAUACCCCAGUAGUCC